This 449-nucleotide ribosomal RNA is filed under the name uncultured bacterium. RNAcentral describes it as "SSU rRNA". It matches the Rfam family "Bacterial small subunit ribosomal RNA", at positions 26 to 518 of the family's 1533-position model. The record is from RNAcentral.
AGGAUGAACGCUGGCGGCGUGCCUAAUACAUGCAAGUCGAACGAGCUCUUCGGAGCUAGUGGCGGACGGGUGAGUAACACGUUGGUACCUACCCCGAAGUGGGGAAUAACUGCCCGAAAGGGUGGCUAAUACCGCAUAAUACCGCAAGGUUAAAGCGAGUAAUCGCGCUUCGGGAGGGGCCUGCGUCCCAUUAGCUAGUUGGUAGGGUAAUGGCCUACCAAGGCGACGAUGGGUAGCUGGAUCGAGAGGUUGACCAGCCACACUGGGACUGAGAUACGGCCCAGACUCCUACGGGAGGCAGCAGUAAGGAAUCUUCCACAAUGGACGAAAGUCUGAUGGAGCAACGCCGCGUGCAGGAUGACGGUCUUCGGAUUGUAAACUGCUUUUAUAUGGGAAGAUUAUGACGGUACCAUAUGAAUAGGGACCGCUAACUACGUGCCAGCAGCCGC